UACGAAGGGGGCGAGCGUUAUUCGGAAUCACUGGGCGUAAAGCGUGCGUAGGCGGUUUCACAAGUUAGGAGUGAAAGCCCAGGGCUCAACCCUGGAAUUGCUCUUAAAACUGUGAGACUUGAAUCUCGGAGAGGAUAGCGGAAUUUCCAGUGUAGUAGUGAAAUACGUAGAUAUUGGAAGGAACACCAGUGGCGUAAGCGGCUAUCUGGACGAGCAUUGACGCUGAGGCACGAAAGCGUGGGGAUCAAACAGG
This 253-nucleotide ribosomal RNA is filed under the name uncultured bacterium. RNAcentral describes it as "partial 16S ribosomal RNA". It matches the Rfam family "Bacterial small subunit ribosomal RNA", at positions 524 to 776 of the family's 1533-position model. The record is from RNAcentral.